Molecule: long non-coding RNA, 613 nt
Filed under: Brachypodium distachyon (stiff brome)
Lineage: Eukaryota; Viridiplantae; Streptophyta; Magnoliopsida; Poales; Poaceae
Description: long non-coding RNA (BDIS_LNC001023)
Source: RNAcentral
AUGGUUGGAGAUGGAUUGAUUGGUGAGACGCGGGGCCUGGGGCGUGGAUCGUUGCUGGAAAGCAGAUAAUGAAUGGGACUCUCCUCAACGUGUCUCACGGUGCCUGGUACAUCAAGUAGAUUAACACUGCUUAUUAGUUUUGUUCAACUUGCAGCGAAAAAAUGAUCAUACCUUAGUUGGAGAUGGAUUGAUUGGUUUUUGUUCAACUUGCAGCGAAAAAAGGAUCAUGAGACGCGAGGCCUGCGGGCGUGGAUCGUUGGUAGAAAGCAGAUGAUGGAUGGGACUCUCCUCAGCGUGUUUCACGGUGCCUAAUCGAUCUCUUCCUGGGGUGGGCGAGGCGAGCGUGGGGCGAGAGAAGGAAAGUGCCUGAUCAAUCUCUUCCUGGGGCCUGAUCGAUCUCUUCCUGGUGUGGGUGCUAAUAUAGUUUUUUCAAAAGGAAUCGUGUGUGUCUUGGUUUGUUACUACGAACCCAAACGGCAAGCUAUCCUGGUUGGAUUCAGUUAUGUGAUUGUAUAUGGCAGUUCCUGCCUGAUCUAUCUCUUCCUUGGCAAUUCCGGCAAGCUAACCUGGUUGGAUUCAGUUCGUGAUUGUAUAUGGCAGUUCUGAUCGAUCU